GACGAACGCUGGCGGCGUGCCUAAUACAUGCAAGUUGAGCGAUGAAGAUUGGUGCUUGCACCAAUUUGAAGAGCAGCGAACGGGUGAGUAACGCGUGGGGAAUCUGCCUUUGAGCGGGGGACAACAUUUGGAAACGAAUGCUAAUACCGCAUAACAACUUUAAACAUAAGUUUUAAGUUUGAAAGAUGCAAUUGCAUCACUCAAAGAUGAUCCCGCGUUGUAUUAGCUAGUUGGUGAGGUAAAGGCUCACCAAGGCGAUGAUACAUAGCCGACCUGAGAGGGUGAUCGGCCACAUUGGGACUGAGACACGGCCCAAACUCCUACGGGAGGCAGCAGUAGGGAAUCUUCGGCAAUGGUCGAAAGUCUGACCGAGCAACGCCGCGUGAGUGAAGAAGGUUUUCGGAUCGUAAAACUCUGUUGGUAGAGAAGAACGUUGGUGAGAGUGGAAAGCUCAUCAAGUGACGGUAACUACCCAGAAAGGGACGGCUAACUACGUG
This 497-nucleotide ribosomal RNA is filed under the name uncultured bacterium. RNAcentral's name for it is "partial 16S ribosomal RNA". It matches the Rfam family "Bacterial small subunit ribosomal RNA", at positions 28 to 507 of the family's 1533-position model. The record is from RNAcentral.